GGUGCGCGCUUGGUGUAGGAGGACUCGACCCUUUCUGUGCCGUAGCUAACGCGUUAAGCGCGCCGCCUGGGGAGUACGGUCGCAAGACUAAAACUCAAAGAAAUUGACGGGGACCCGCACAAGCGGUGGAGUAUGUGGCUUAAUUCGAUGCAACGCGAAGAACCUUACCAAGGCUUGACAUGUAUUGCUAAGCACGCGAAAGCGUGUGACCCUUCGGGGACCUUACACAGGUGCUGCAUGGCCGUCGUCAGCUCGUGUCGUGAGAUGUUUGGUUAAGUCCAGCAACGAGCGCAACCCCUGUGAAUAGUUGCCAGCACGUAAUGGUGGGGACUCUAUUCAGACUGCCCAGGUCAACUGGGAGGAAGGUGGGGAUGACGUCAGGUCAGUAUGGCCCUUACGCCUUGGGCUGCACACGUACUACAAUGCCCAGUACAAUGAGAACCGAGACCGCGAGGUGGAGGAAAUCUGCAAAACUGGGCCCAGUUCGGAUUGGAGGCUGCAACUCGCCUCCAUGAAGUUGGAAUCGCUAGUAAUGGCACAUCAGCUACGGUGCCGUGAAUACGUUCCCGGGUCUUGUACACACCGCCCGUCACAUCAUGGAAGCCGAUCGCACCCGAAGUAUCCGCGCUAACUAUUUAUAGAAGCAAGGUCCUAAGGUGUAGUUGGUAACUGGGAUGAAGUCGUAACAAGGUAACCGUA
This 699-nucleotide ribosomal RNA is filed under the name uncultured bacterium. RNAcentral's name for it is "bacterial SSU rRNA". It matches the Rfam family "Bacterial small subunit ribosomal RNA", at positions 808 to 1504 of the family's 1533-position model. The record is from RNAcentral.